UACAGGGGGGGCAAGCGUUGUUCGGAAUUACUGGGCGUAAAGGGCUCGUAGGUGGCCAACUAAGUCAGACGUGAAAUCCCUCGGCUUAACCGGGGAACUGCGUCUGAUACUGGAUGGCUUGAGAUUGGGAGAGGGAUGCGGAAUUCCAGGUGUAGCGGUGAAAUGCGUAGAUAUCUGGAGGAACACCGGUGGCGAAGGCGACAUCCUGGACCAACACUGACGCUGAGGAGCGAAAGCCAGGGGAGCAAACGGG
This 253-nucleotide ribosomal RNA is filed under the name uncultured bacterium. RNAcentral describes it as "partial 16S ribosomal RNA". It matches the Rfam family "Bacterial small subunit ribosomal RNA", at positions 524 to 776 of the family's 1533-position model. The record is from RNAcentral.